Molecule: long non-coding RNA, 581 nt
Filed under: Olea europaea subsp. europaea
Lineage: Eukaryota; Viridiplantae; Streptophyta; Magnoliopsida; Lamiales; Oleaceae
Source: RNAcentral
CUGACUUUUCAAAACCUCAAGAUUAACGAAAAUAUAUACUAAAAAGCCGCCCAAGUUACAAAUCUAAGAGAAAAUAAAUUCGGAUAGCACGUACCAGUGUAAAAAGCCGCUGCAGAACGAACGAGAGAACGCUACACUUUUAAGAGAUGCAAUAUUUGAUUUGGGUUCCGUAAUUUUCCAGAAGUUUUAUAUCAAAAGUGUGCAUAUGUUUCUUGUGCGCAUGUGAGCUUUCAGAUAUACUGAACUGAACCUGAUCCGCAGGAGGUGGUGUGGGCGGUUUGUGUUCUUGAUAUUUGGAGGAGGGAACAAACCGUUUGUCUUCGACCUUUUUGCAUCUCACGCGGAUGGGAGGAAAUGGUGCCACGUAGCCACCAAAAAAAGACAUUUUUCCAAAAUGAUCAUUGACUAUUGUUUAAAAAAAAAUUUUGAAAAACCUGUAAAAAUCUUAAAAACAAUGAAAACUCAAUAGAUUAUGUAAAAUUAUUGAAAAUGAUAUGUUUUGAUGUGUUUUUGGGCAAAAAUGGUGAUCCCGGCACCUGGACCGGAGAAGAAAAGGGCGGAGAGGGCCAGACGUCCCAGAC